This 476-nucleotide ribosomal RNA is filed under the name uncultured bacterium. RNAcentral describes it as "bacterial SSU rRNA". It matches the Rfam family "Bacterial small subunit ribosomal RNA", at positions 30 to 507 of the family's 1533-position model. The record is from RNAcentral.
AUUGAACGCUGGCGGAAUGCUUUACACAUGCAAGUCGAGCGGCAGCGCGGGGCAACCUGGCGGCGAGCGGCGAACGGGUGAGUAAUACAUCGGAACGUACCCAGUUGUGGGGGAUAGCCCGGCGAAAGCCGGAUUAAUACCGCAUACGACCUGAGGGUGAAAGGGGGGGAUCGCAAGACCUCUCGCAGUUGGAGCGGCCGAUGGCGGAUUAGCUAGUUGGUAGGGUAAAGGCCUACCAAGGCGACGAUCCGUAGCUGGUCUGAGAGGACGACCAGCCACACUGGAACUGAGACACGGUCCAGACUCCUACGGGAGGCAGCAGUAGGGAAUAUUGGGCAAUGGACGAAAGUCUGACCCAGCCACGCCGCGUGAAGGAUGACUGCCCUAUGGGUUGUAAACUUCUUUUGUAUGGGAAGAAAUUCCGAACGUGUUCGGAGCUGACGGUACCAUAAGAAUAAGCAUCGGCUAACUCCGUG